AGAUCCUUCCCCGCCACCGCCCCGGCCCGAUGCCCCUUACAUGAUGCCCAGCACCCGGAGGAGCAGGGCCCCAUCGCUGAGGCGCAGGAAUCUCUUCUCCAACCAAAGGGGCGGCUCUUCCUCCUCUUCCUCUUCUUCCCCCUCCGAGUCCUCCGCCUCCCCGACCAGCCCGGCCAGUCCCAGCGCCUGUGAGGAGCCCAGAGGGGUCAGCCGACCAGCAGAGUGAACCCUGAGCCCCUCCGACCUGCCCCACAUCUCUGCAGGGCUAGCCCAGAGGUUGGCGGCGGAAGGCCCACAGCUCCCCUGGCUCCAUGGGCAAUGACCGAACAGCCCUUCACCUCUCUGGGCCUUGUUUUCUCAAACUGAAACUGGAGAGGAUGACCCCAGCCUGGGACCUUCGAGGGCCUCAAAAGGGCUCUGGGCCUUGCGUGGCUGGACGAUGAAUGUGAUGGCUGGAACUCAAGCAGCCACAGUGGAUCAUAAGGGACGGUGUCUUGCUAUGUUGUCCAAGCUGGUCUCAAACUGGCCUGAAUCAAUGCUUCCACCUCAGCUGCCAGAGGAACCGGGAUUACAGGCCUGAGCCACUGCAGCCAGCCAGUUUGUUAUUUUAAUGUAAAUUCUUAGUAAACAACUCAGGAGCUCUCUUGUCCUUUUAAAAUCCAUUUCAACUUCUGCUAAUCGGAGUGUAUAUUCAGGGCAACUUGAAUCUGUGCUCCUGGGAUGCAAUCCUCAAGCUUGGCCCAAAUAAAGUCUCCGCUGAUAUUAA
Molecule: long non-coding RNA, 766 nt
Filed under: Homo sapiens (human)
Lineage: Eukaryota; Metazoa; Chordata; Mammalia; Primates; Hominidae
Description: uncharacterized LOC102723878, transcript variant 1 (LOC102723878)
Source: RNAcentral